RNAcentral lists this ribosomal RNA (256 nucleotides) under uncultured bacterium. RNAcentral describes it as "partial 16S ribosomal RNA". It matches the Rfam family "Bacterial small subunit ribosomal RNA", at positions 524 to 776 of the family's 1533-position model. The record is from RNAcentral.
UACGUAGGGGUCUAGCGUUGUCCGGAAUUAUUGGGCGUAAAGAGCUCGUAGGCGGUUCGGCAAGUCGGAUGUGAAAUCUCCACGCUUAACGUGGAGGGGCCAUUCGAAACUGCCGUGACUCGAGUCCGGUAGGGGAGUGCGGAAUUCCCGGUGUAGCGGUGAAAUGCGCAGAUAUCGGGAGGAACACCAGUGGCGAAGGCGGCACUCUGGGCCGGAACUGGACGCUGAGGAGCGAAAAGCGUGGGGAGCGAACAGG